CAGUCGCCACGGGAAUACGGAGGGAGCUAGCGUUGUUCGGAAUUACUGGGCGUAAAGCGCGCGUAGGCGGUUACUCAAGUCAGAGGUGAAAGCCCGGGGCUCAACCCCGGAACUGCCUUUGAAACUAGGUGACUAGAAUCUUGGAGAGGUCAGUGGAAUUCCGAGUGUAGAGGUGAAAUUCGUAGAUAUUCGGAAGAACACCAGUGGCGAAGGCGACUGACUGGACAAGUAUUGACGCUGAGGUGCGAAAGCGUGGGGAGCAAACAGGAUUAGAUACCCGGGUAGUCCCUGUCUCUUAUAU
This 301-nucleotide ribosomal RNA is filed under the name uncultured bacterium. RNAcentral's name for it is "partial 16S ribosomal RNA". It matches the Rfam family "Bacterial small subunit ribosomal RNA", at positions 509 to 809 of the family's 1533-position model. The record is from RNAcentral.